ACUCCUACGGGAGGCAGCAGUGGGGAAUAUUGGACAAUGGGCGCAAGCCUGAUCCAGCCAUGCCGCGUGAGUGAUGAAGGCCCUAGGGUUGUAAAGCUCUUUCACCGGUGAAGAUAAUGACGGUAACCGGAGAAGAAGCCCCGGCUAACUUCGUGCCAGCAGCCGCGGUAAUACGAAGGGGGCUAGCGUUGUUCGGAUUUACUGGGCGUAAAGCGCACGUAGGCGGACUAUUAAGUCAGGGGUGAAAUCCCGGGGCUCAACCCCGGAACUGCCUUUGAUACUGGUAGUCUUGAGUUCGAGAGAGGUGAGUGGAAUUCCGAGUGUAGAGGUGAAAUUCGUAGAUAUUCGGAGGAACACCAGUGGCGAAGGCGGCUCACUGGCUCGAUACUGACGCUGAGGUGCGAAAGCGUGGGGAGCAAACAGGACUAGAUACCCGAGUAGUCCCA
RNAcentral lists this ribosomal RNA (446 nucleotides) under uncultured organism. Its description in RNAcentral is "partial 16S ribosomal RNA". It matches the Rfam family "Bacterial small subunit ribosomal RNA", at positions 335 to 797 of the family's 1533-position model. The record is from RNAcentral.